Molecule: non-coding RNA, 47 nt
Organism: Angiostrongylus cantonensis (rat lungworm)
Lineage: Eukaryota; Metazoa; Nematoda; Chromadorea; Rhabditida; Metastrongylidae
Source: Rfam
CCAACGGCCCUCUUUAGGGCCAUAUAAGAUGCAAAUGAAAUUGGUCG